This 468-nucleotide ribosomal RNA is filed under the name uncultured bacterium. Its description in RNAcentral is "partial 16S ribosomal RNA". It matches the Rfam family "Bacterial small subunit ribosomal RNA", at positions 28 to 507 of the family's 1533-position model. The record is from RNAcentral.
GACGAACGCUGGCGGCGUGCUUAACACAUGCAAGUCGAACGGAAAGGCCCUGCUUUUGUGGGGUGCUCGAGUGGCGAACGGGUGAGUAACACGUGAGUAACCUGCCCUUGACUUUGGGAUAACUUCAGGAAACUGGGGUUAAUCCCGGAUAGCAGCUCCUGCUGCAUGGUGGGGGUUGGAAAGUUUCGGCGGUCGCGGAUGGACUCGCGGCUUACCAGUUUGUUGGUGGGGUAGUGGCUUACCAAGGCUUUGACGGGUAGCCGGCCUGAGAGGGUGACCGGCCACAUUGGGACUGAGAUACGGCCCAGACUCCUACGGGAGGCAGCAGGGGGGAAUAUUGCACAAUGGGCGGAAGCCUGAUGCAGCAACGCCGCGGGCGUGAUGACGGCCUUCGGGGUGUAAACCGCUUUCGCUUGUGACGAAGCGUGAGUGACGGUAAUGGGUAAAGAAGCACCGACUAACUACGUG